RNAcentral lists this unclassified non-coding RNA (455 nucleotides) under Hevea brasiliensis (rubber tree). The record is from RNAcentral. Lineage: Eukaryota; Viridiplantae; Streptophyta; Magnoliopsida; Malpighiales; Euphorbiaceae.
UGAAGUGAAAUGGCCUGUGAGCAAAUGAGUGUACAAGAAGUGGAACACAUUUUUCAAUUAAGUAAAAGCAUUAAGUGUAAAGACACAUGCAAGAAUUACUUGCAAAUAGUGAAAACUAACUAAAAAAUUGCUUGCCAGCCAAAAAUCAAAGCACGAAAGCAUAAGAUAUAUAAAAAGCCAAAAGUAAGCAAAUGAUUAAAGUAAGCAUAUAAGAGAUGCAAAUGAACUUCUACUGUAAUAACAUAUAUUACUGGGUCUAGAUUGAUGAUGAUAAGCUAGAAAAUGGGUCCAAAUUAAGAGGAAUGGAAAUAUAACUAAUGUAAUGAAUCUACAAUAAAUCUAGUUCUAUGCAAUAAUUUCCAUAUUCUUGCUAUAGACAAAAUGCAUAACAACAGCUUGGUCAAAGUUUAAUCAACUUUGAGGAAAAUUUGAGAUGGUAGAAAUCAUACAAAAUA